GACGAGGGGUCCAAGCGUUGUUCGGAAUCAUUGGGCGUAAAGCGGGUGUAGGCGGCCUUAUAAGUCAGAAGUGAAAGCCCUGGGCUCAACCCGGGAAGUGCUUUUGAUACUGCAAGGCUUGAAUGUGGGAGAGGGUAGUGGAAUUCCUGGUGUAGUGGUGAAAUGCGUAGAUAUACUGGAGGAACACCGGUGGCGAAGGCGGCAUCCUGGACCGAGAUUGACGCUGAGGCGCGAAAGCCAGGGGAGCAAACGGG
This 254-nucleotide ribosomal RNA is filed under the name uncultured bacterium. RNAcentral describes it as "partial 16S ribosomal RNA". It matches the Rfam family "Bacterial small subunit ribosomal RNA", at positions 524 to 776 of the family's 1533-position model. The record is from RNAcentral.